RNAcentral lists this long non-coding RNA (3223 nucleotides) under Nicotiana benthamiana. RNAcentral describes it as "long non-coding RNA (NBEN_LNC011717)". Lineage: Eukaryota; Viridiplantae; Streptophyta; Magnoliopsida; Solanales; Solanaceae. The record is from RNAcentral.
UUUUGAGAAAUUAAUCCAAGCCAUUCAUUCCAUACCUAUCUAAGUGUCAAAAUCAUUUCUUUUAGAGACAAGACCAAAAUCCUAAUGGUCCCUUCUUCUUCAUGAACUUUCAUAAAAAACAGAAAAAACUCUAGAGAAAAGAACCUACACACAAGAAACAAGGGUUGAAGCCUAAUAACACAAACAUACCAGCCGCCCAACACCAGCAACCACCUACAGGCGCCUCCUGCUCACUCACGACCGGACCCCCUUGAUUUUCGGCUUCUUCAACAGAACAUAGGGCCCCAGCCGUUUCUAUUCUUCUUCGUUCAAACACAAGAUGAAAAAAUAUUUGAACUCCAUCACCCCAAGAAGGAUCCAACCGCUGGACAACCUAGCCACUGGCCACCACUAUUAUCGCCGAAAACCAAACCAAGACAACAACCCCUAAUCUCGAUCUCCUCUAGACACUCACGAAUAGAAGACAGAGACAGGGGAUUGGCCGCAAAAAAGAAAAUGACCCCAUCUCCAUCUACCUUUCCAUCUCUCGACCAAACCAGCCCUUUUCCAACACACCCAUCGAAAAUACUCACCACACACACACGCUUACAGAAGUUAAAAAUACAUUUUAGAAUCAUGGAGUUCGUUUAGGUUGAAAGAUGUUUCGUGUUUGGGUUGCGCAAGGAUCAUUGCUCACUUCGAUCUACCUUGUUUCCCUUGUCCGCUGCUUUUCGAGAAGUUUGAAUUCAAAGCAGAGUUGACAAUAGAUUUGAAUCCUAUUGCACCAAAAAAGUUUUGACUCGAGGUUCCGGUCAAGGUUCAUGAUGUUUUGCGAUUCAAAGCCCUGAAGGUCCGUCCUAUCUUCUGUUCCCCUCUUGUCUGAUUUGCCUAUGAAUAGUUUUUAUUUUUCCAUGUUGAAUUUUGGUUGAAACUUUAAUUGUAAUAAUUUAUGGACUCUUGUCUAGAUGGACGUGUGGUGGUACCUAAUUCGAAUGGAAUCAAUAAUGGGUCAAUGAAGUAAUUGAGAAUAAGUGGGAUCAGAUCACAUGAGUUUGAAUAGAAUUAAGUUUAAGAAACUGGAUAGUAGAUGACAUGUUCUAUUUCGAUUUUGUUACUACUAGUUUCGUUUAAAGCUAGUAGCAUGCUUAGGCCGAUCACAUUUGGGUAGGCAAACUUUAGGAUUUUAUUUUGUUUAAUUUUGAGGCGAGAGAUUGUUUCCUUAGUUACAUUUAUCCGAGGAAUGCCCCGAAGGAUUUGUAAAAAUUUGAUUCCAGGGAAUGCCCCGUAGCACUUUUAUUUGGAGGCCAAAAGUAGAGUUUGUAGUAUUUUUAUCUUAUUUUAUUUUUAUUUUUAUUUUUUUGGAAGAGACGACCUCGAGCCUCUUGUGUGUUCAUUUUAUUUUUGUGUUAUAAUUUAAUAGCCAACUUGAUCAUGUAAGCAACCGUACUAGUUACGGGAAUCGGGGAAUGCCUAACACCUUCUCGCCAAGUCAAAUAAACCCCCUUAUUUGAAUCUUUAACGUGGAUUUAGUUUUGGGGUCCGAAGUGUUUUAAAGGAAAAACUAUAUUUUUAAAAAAAUACGGUGACCUCGCAUACCGAAAUCAAAGUCAGGAUGUGACUCUGAGUUACUUCCUUCAAACACAAAUUUUGUCACUUUUUAAUUGAAAAUCAUUUUCAAGAUUUACUAAAUCCUUUUAUUUAUAUUUAAGAGGGUUAGUGGAGUUUUGAAAAAAAAAGGGGUAUGACAUCUCCAGCAACUCUGCUGGGGAGGUGCAGGUUUGAGCUAGUACCUGAUCUUGUUGGAUUUUUAGGAUAUUCGAUUGAGGUUUUUAUGUAUUUUUUUUUGCUUUAUUUGACUUUUAUUUUAUGUCAUUUUAUUAUUUGCUCGUUUCUUAUUUGUUUACAGUUUACAAUUUUUCCUUUAUGUGCUCCUGCUUUAUAAAUUGUCAUUAAUUGCAUAACCAUGGGUCUUUUUUCUGCAACAAGUCUUCCGGAGUAUGUUUGAGUGUACACGGCCUUUUGUGAGUCACCCGUAUCCUUAGGGGAUUGGCGUGAGAGCGUGGAAUGGGCAGACAGCUAGAGCAGCCACCAUCGACCGCGUGCCGCCCCGAAUUGCCUUGUUAGUGAAACUCAAAUUUAGGUCAGCCUUUAUGUCAUUUACACCUAGUAGGGUUCAGUCCCAGGUACCGUGUCCCUUUGUAGGUGGCCUAUCCAAUUUUGUCAAAAUAGGAUCGUGGCCCAAAAAGACAUUCAAUCAUCCCUAUGUGAUACAUCUUGCAUCUUUGAGGGUAAAAAUGUCAUUUGGCGGAUCGAUGUUUGGGAAAUAAGGGUGCAAAAUGAAGCAAGUAGGGUUCAAUUAUAUUUUUCUUUCACAAUUUUUCAAGAAAAGACAAAAAAAUGAAAAUAAAAAAUUCAAAAAGAUUUUACACUUUCCCAUUACUUUUCAAAAAUGAAAAAAAAUCCAAAAAAAGAUUUUACACUCUUUCGUUAUUUUCUAAAAAAUUCAAAAAAGGAGAAAAAGAAAAUCCAAAAAGAUUUUACAUUUUUCGUCAUUUUUGAAAAAUUCAAAAAAAAGGUGAAAAAGAAAAUUCAAAAAGAUUUUACAUUUUCCAUCAUUUCUCAAAAAGAUAAAAAUAUAGUUUUUUCUAAUUAGAUGCAUUUUUUAAUUCUAUCCCAUAUGUAAUCUUCCUGAACUACGCGAACCUGAUUUUUGUCUUUCGGAACGAGAUACAUAGGAAACCCAAAUAGGAUCCAGUCUUCCUAGUAAGUCUUAGGUUCUUGGCUUUGCCGGAUCUUAGCCAAAUCUUCCAUGUCUAUCCACUUUUGGCCAUAUCGGCCAUUGUUGCAAAAUGGGGUUAUUUUCGCAAAAGUGAUUCAAUUACUCAUAUCUUAGGAUAUUGAGUCCACAACUAGGCAUCAUAUUUAUUUAAGGUCCAUCAUUUUUUAGUUUUCAUCUUUAGCCACUCUUUGCCACGUAGGCAUUUUGCAAAAAUAGCCCAAUCAUGUCUUGCAUGUGUCCACCAAUAGGAAGUGUUCUGAUCUCAGACAGUGUCUCGAGUCACUAAUCUUUUGGUCUUUUUUUCUCAUUCAGGUAUGGAUUCAUUUACCACAGCUCGAGCAUGAUUGAUACCCCAUGACCACUAUAUUCAUGAGCUGCUUAAGGAGCCUUUUUAUAUUUCGAGUUUGUUUUCUUGUUUUCUCUUACUUGUCUUGUACAGUAGUAUUCAUUCAUUUAGUUGGUGUC